UGGCCCGCUUGUACGCGGCGGAUUGCAGGUCGGUUCCUUCAGGAGACUAGGGGCAGAGGCUGGCUUUUGUCCUGCCAGCCUCAGCCCUUAACACGGUGCCUGAAUGGACUAAGCGUCAAGCGCUAAUAAACGCCUAGUGACUGGCUUCACGUCGGACCAACUCCGGUCCACUCUCGAUUCGAACUUGUCCGAAUUCCUUCUGCAUAAAGAAACCCCUGGGAAACGAGGGCUCUUCUUACUCCCAAGAAAACGCAAUGUCCCACAGGGAGCCUUCCUCCUGGUGGGCGGGACCGCUCUCUACCCCAGCUCACCGGAAAAGGGCCUGAACCUCGCUGGGCAUCACUCCUCCUCCCCUUGGGAUGCUGCACUCUCUGAGCCCAGAAUCUGGAAAUGUGUUCGGAGAGAGAGCCCCGUCGGGGUGCAUUUAUUUAGCCCAGCCCAGUCCCGCUAGCCGGGCGAACAAUGCCUGGAAUCUACCGGGCGGGGGCUUGGUAAGUCCUCAGGACAGCUCAACUGGAUUCUCCCUAGAGAUGCUUUUGUUGGAAUAAAUCAAGCCCUCACUUCUCAGCUUGCCAGCCUGGGGCUUGCUUCAGUGAAACUAAGCUAUUAAAUGCUGGAGAUGGGAAGAAAUUCGGGGAGAUAUGUGAAGAGAUGAAAAGAGAAACUCCCCACUAUGCUUACAUUUUAAAAGCCAGAGCCACGCAAUCAAGAGAAAACAAGCAUGCACGUGAAACAAACCCGAGGGGAACUCCCGGGCAGAGGAGCUUUGAGUUAGCACGCACACAUCAUUGCAUCUUUUAUGCAUGCUUAGCUCCAUGGUUCUUGGUGGUAGAGGUGGUUACUAAGCAUAUAAUUUUUAAAAUAUGCUGUUAAAAAAAGAAACGAAGGUAUUGUCAGAGUUUCCAUUCAUCCCUCCCAAGCAGAUGACAAUUUAUCUGCCUUCUCCUUCUCCGUGUUCUUUGUCCUUCCAAUCAACAGUCCAUGGAGGAUCUGGUUCAGGUUCUGGAGCGGCACAGUACAAAGAGUCCUGGAUUUGAACUCUGGUCCUGCUGCUUGUUGUGCGCAAGGCUCCUCCAUCUGAUUUUUAGAUUGAGCUAUAAAAUGAAUCAAGUGCUCUCACUGGUUUCUAAGGGUUCUUCCCAUUCCAGAUUCUACAAACUGAACAAGGUCACGCCGACUCUGGGGAGGUUUAGCCUCUUCUCGAAGCCUGACCAGCCAUGCCGCUCAGCCUGGAGUCAAGAGGAAAGGAAGAUGUUCAUAAGUGCCUGCUGAAUGAGCUGAAAGCAUACACGACCCAUGCUGUUAAGUUAUACUAACUAACAUCAUUCUUAAGACUUGCCUGAUUAUCACCAUUCAUUAUUUUAAGUUUUUGUUCUUGAAUGGAUAAAAAAAUAGCCAAAGAUCAAAUGAUACAUCAAAGUUUCUGAAUAAUUCAUUUCAUCUUUGUGAGAAAAAAUAUCACAGGCUCUAGCCCUAGAUGUGAGAAAUCUAAUUUUGAGAUUAAAUGCCUCUGCCCCCUCAUCUCAGCUCUAAGCAAAUUGGGACAAAUGGACGUGG
This 1557-nucleotide long non-coding RNA is filed under the name Monodelphis domestica (gray short-tailed opossum). RNAcentral's name for it is "lncRNA (ENSMODG00000049160.1)". Lineage: Eukaryota; Metazoa; Chordata; Mammalia; Didelphimorphia; Didelphidae. The record is from RNAcentral.